Ciona intestinalis (vase tunicate) is the source of this 105-nucleotide ribosomal RNA. Lineage: Eukaryota; Metazoa; Chordata; Ascidiacea; Phlebobranchia; Cionidae. The record is from Ensembl.
GCCUAUCUCCAUACCAGAUUGAAAGUACCCGAUCUCGGAAGUCAAGCAAUCCCGGGUUCAGUUAGUACUUGAAUGGGUGACCAUAGUACACGAACAUGAUAGUUC